CUAGGUUUGGCUGCUAUUGAGCGUGCAAAGAAGAGACGGGCAUCCAGAGUGAACUGGCUACGUGUAGGAGAUGCCAACACGCGCUUUUUUCAUGCUAAAAUGCAGUCUCGCCGCAGAAAGAACUUCAUUCAUGCAAUCCAUAGCAAUGACAUAGUUGUGGUGGAUCACGACGAGAAAGAAAAGAUCAUCUUCGAUUAUUUCUCUGAAGCUAUGGGGCGUAGCAAGCAGCGAAGCUGAACCCUGAAUUGGGACAGUCUGAACAUCCCGGUUGUUGCCUCACCAGAGCUGGACGGCCCGUUCACCAUGGCCGAGGUCUUGGCAGCGAUCCUUGCGCCCCCCACGGAAAAGGCCCCGGGCCCAGACGACUUCAGUGGGCAAUUCUAUCACUCAUGUUGGCCGAUCAUCAAGGAGGAGGUAAUGGCUGUUUUCAACAAGUUCCAUCAGAUAGUCGGGAGUAAUUUCGCCGAGCUGAAUUCAACGCUCAUUGCCCUGCUGCUGAAGAAAAUUGGCGCACCCGAGAUCAGCCAUUAUAGGCCCAUCAGUUUGAUACAUUCCAUGGCAAAGUUAAUCUCCAAAGUGCUCGCCCUCCGGUUAUCCUCUGCUCUGAACGGAGUUAUCUCGCUGACGCAAACGGCAUUUCAGAAAGUAAAAUGCAUCCACGAUAGUUUUCAGUAUGUGCAAGGUUGCGUCAUAAUGCUCCAUAGAGAAAAAAGCAGGCCUUGCUCUUCAAGAUUCAUUUCGCUCGCAUGUUUGAUUCUGUAUCCUGGACAUACCAGAUCGAGCUGCUGUAGUGCAUGUGUUUUUCGUAACGCUGGAGAAACUGGGUGGCCUUGUUACUAUCCACUGCAACUUCUUCCUGUCUGCUGA
Molecule: ribosomal RNA, 867 nt
Filed under: Triticum aestivum (bread wheat)
Lineage: Eukaryota; Viridiplantae; Streptophyta; Magnoliopsida; Poales; Poaceae
Description: partial small subunit ribosomal RNA
Source: RNAcentral